This is a long non-coding RNA of Carcharodon carcharias (great white shark), 648 nucleotides long. RefSeq lists it as uncharacterized. Lineage: Eukaryota; Metazoa; Chordata; Chondrichthyes; Lamniformes; Lamnidae. The record is from RefSeq and is a predicted model, not a curated record. The transcript is spliced from 2 exons.
AGGCAGCGUUAGGGGCAGUGGGUGGGAGGGGAGGCUUCACAAACACCCAGUGGAGGCCUCAACACCCCCAGCAAGAAAGUACUGGGCCCGCCUUUGCACCGAACGGAACGGCAGCUGCGGGCUUUCUCCCGGUGCCAGGCCCGAGUGGACAAAUGGUGCUAGAAGGGGAGGAUUUGCAGUGAGGAAACUCACACCAGACAUCACAUCAGGAUCUGAUGCACUCUCCAAAUUUAUCAAAACUGGAAUAUCAUUUGAUUAUGAAUGGAAGGAAAAAGCACCAUUCACAGUGGAGAUAAACCGUACAUGUGUUCUGUGUGUGGACGAGGCUUCAGCCGAUCAUCUGGCCUGUUGAAACACAAGUGCAGUCAUAUGAGGGAGAAACUAUGGAAAUGUGAGGACUGUGGGAAGGGAUUCAAUUACCCGUCUGACCUGGAUGAGGUUCGAUGGGUAACCUUGCUGGAUUGUCACAAUAUAUUUAAAAUCUAUUUUGGACUGUUGCCUUAAAAGGGGGGUCUGGUUAACUAGGAAUUUGUAGUCUGGAGUCUGGUUAACUAGGAAUUUUGGAAAUAGAAUAUGAUGUAACCAUGUAACUAUAAUCUUGUGUAUGUGAUUUACGCUUUUCUUUUGUUAAUAAAUGUUUUAAUUUGA